Molecule: ribosomal RNA, 584 nt
Filed under: uncultured bacterium
Lineage: Bacteria
Description: bacterial SSU rRNA
Rfam family: Bacterial small subunit ribosomal RNA
Source: RNAcentral
UCCUACGGGAGGCAGCAGUGGGGAAUAUUGGACAAUGGGCGGAAGCCUGAUCCAGCAACGCCGCGUGAGGGAUGACGGCCUUCGGGUUGUAAACCUCUUUCAGCAUUGACGAAGCUUCUUCUUUUUGGGGGGAGUGACGGUAGGUGCAGAAGAAGGACCGGCCAACUACGUGCCAGCAGCCGCGGUAAUACGUAGGGUCCGAGCGUUGUCCGGAAUUAUUGGGCGUAAAGGGCUCGUUGGCGGUUUGUUGCGUCGGGAGUGAAAACCCAGGGCUUAACUUUAGGCUUGCUUUCGAUACGGGCAGACUUGAGGCAUUGAGGGGAGAACGGAAUUCCUGGUGUAGCGGUGAAAUGCGCAGAUAUCAGGAGGAACACCGGUGGCGAAGGCGGUUCUCUGGCAAUGUUCUGACGCUGAGGAGCGAAAGUGUGGGGAGCGAACAGGAUUAGAUACCCUGGUAGUCCGCACCGUAAACGUUGGGCGCUAGGUGUGGGACACAUUCCACGUGUUCCGUGCCGCGGCUAACGCAUUAAGCGCCCCGCCUGGGGAGUACGGCCGCAAGGCUAAAACUCAAAUGAAUUGACGGA